This 327-nucleotide ribosomal RNA is filed under the name uncultured eukaryote. RNAcentral's name for it is "partial 18S ribosomal RNA". It matches the Rfam family "Eukaryotic small subunit ribosomal RNA", at positions 1470 to 1796 of the family's 1831-position model. The record is from RNAcentral.
CCCUUAGAUGUUCUGGGCCGCACGCGCGCUACACUGACGAAUGCAACGAGCUUAUAACCUUGGCCGAAAGGUCUGGGUAAUCUCCAAAUUUCGUCGUGAUGGGGAUAGAUUAUUGCAAUUAUUAAUCUUCAACGAGGAAUGCCUAGUAAGCGCAAGUCGUCAGCUUGCGUUGAUUACGUCCCUGCCCUUUGUACACACCGCCCGUCGCUCCUACCGAUUGAAUGGUCCGGUGAAGCGUUCGGACCGUGGCCUUUGGACGGUUCGCCGUCUGUUGGCUGCGGGAAGUUCGUUAAACCUUAUCAUUUAGAGGAAGGAGAAGUCGUAACA